CGAGAAUCGGCUGCUCGUUCUCGAGCAAGAAGACAGGUUUUGUGUUCAUCAUUCUCUACUCUUUGUUUCAAUUAAUGAUCCUUUACCUAAUGGAAAAUUCUUGUAAUGCAGGCAUACACUGUCGAGCUAGAGGCAGAACUGAAUCAUCUAAAAGAAGAGAAUGAAAAGCUAAAACAAAUUCUGGCUGAAGCAGAGAGCAAGAGGAGACAAGAGCUUUUACAGAGAUCGAAUUCACCAAAGGUUCGAAAGGGAACAGAAAAAUUAAGAGGAAUAAGAAGGCCUAUAAGUGCAACCUGGUGAAUAAGCCUCGACAAGAAGAAUUAAAAAAAUUAGUGUAAAUAUGAAGGGAAAAAAAAUAAUGUGUCUGUACUCAUGAGAAAUUUUACUUGUGUUGUACAUUCUAAUAUAUGGACAAUUGAAAAAAGUUCAGACAUAUGAAUGCUGCUAUUAUCAUACAUUGUUCAUAAAUAUGUAUAGAUUUGAUAAUAAC
Long non-coding RNA from Vicia villosa (hairy vetch), 490 nucleotides. RefSeq lists it as uncharacterized. The transcript has 3 exons. The record is from RefSeq and is a predicted model, not a curated record. NCBI's taxonomy places the organism in Eukaryota, Viridiplantae, Streptophyta, Magnoliopsida, Fabales, Fabaceae.